AUGGAUGGCGACAGCUUCGAAGGAUGGGGUUCGCAGCCCUCUGCAAGCGGCCCAGCUACCCACGCCAAUCUCGACCUCAACUCGCAAGCUUCGCCGUCGGAAGGGUUCCCAGGGCUUGGGUUGUACGGAGCUUUCCUCCAGAGCGACGGCGAGCAGGUCCUCCCUGGGCGCGGCAGGGGCUUCGGGCUCCCUCACUAUCACCCACCACGUGCUGGAGCAGGAGAUGGAUGGGCGAAUCCGUCGCCACCCUUCAUUCGGCAACUGAACUUUGGCGGCUCCUCGUCAGCAGCAGCCGGUCCGGGUGCCGGUCGCGGAGCAGGCGGCGUCGUUCGGCAGCGAGCCAACUUGUCCGCCGCGGCACCCGGCCGCCGUAACCAGCGCACCGGCACGAGGAGUCGUGGCAGUGGUGGCGGCUAUCGCGUACCGCCUCCCCGGGCACCGCGGAGUGCCCUACAUGGGCAAGCAUCCGGCUCCAGCACUCCCUUUGACAAUGGUGAUGAAGAAUUGGAGGACGAUGUGGAGGAGUUAGCGAGCUCCGGAGAUCCCCUGGUGAGCCAAAGCAAUCGAGCCCACUGGAAUGAUACUAAUAGUGCUUGCUUGUUAGAAUUGUGCAUUCAGCAACGUGCAGCAGGAACUUAUAAUGGUACAAUGAUGAGUGGUGAAGGGUACCAAGCCGUUAUCGACGGCUUACUUGCUAGAAGGGGGUUGGUAUAUAGCCGUUUGCAGGUGAAGAACCAGAUAGUCGUACUCAAAAACACUUACACUUUCUGGCGAUACAUGCAAGUGCAUACAGGGUUGGGGAGGAAACCGGAUGGAACCAUUGAUGCCGACUCUGAGUUCUGGAUAACACACACAGAGAAGAAACCAUACCUACGGAAGCUGCAGUGGGGUCCUCCAGCAAAUGAGGAGUUGCUUGAUCAAUUGUUCAGAGGUUACACUGUGGAUGGAAGCACAGCCUUUGUGCCUGGAGAUGAUUACGGUCAGAAUCAAGGGCAAGAUUUAGGUGCAGGAGAGGAAGAGGAGGAGUUUCAAGGAACACCUACAAGCAACCAGAGGAGCCAGAGAUGCAAGAGGUCAACAAGCACUUCGAGCACUUUGACCAAUCCAUUGAAGAAGAGCAAGAGCCCAAUGGUGAAGAUUGUGAAGGACAUAUCUAGUACCUUCAAGGAGUCUGUCGCAGCCAACACUAAGCAAAUGCAGAAACGUGCAAAUGAGAAGGCUGCAUUUUCUGUGAAGAGGUGUCAGGAGGUAGCAUUUGAGUGUGGCAUUGAGCAAACAAUUGACUCUGUCUAUGCUCUGUCCAAGAUGUUCGAAACGGAGUACCAAAGGGAGUUCUUCUGUGGCCUAUUAACACACGAGCUUAGGUUGGGUUACUUCAAGAAAUGGUGCAGGGACAACAAUUUGGAGUAG
Molecule: ribosomal RNA, 1410 nt
Filed under: Triticum aestivum (bread wheat)
Lineage: Eukaryota; Viridiplantae; Streptophyta; Magnoliopsida; Poales; Poaceae
Description: partial small subunit ribosomal RNA
Source: RNAcentral